RNAcentral lists this ribosomal RNA (1008 nucleotides) under Wiesneriomyces conjunctosporus. RNAcentral describes it as "SSU rRNA". It matches the Rfam family "Eukaryotic small subunit ribosomal RNA", at positions 87 to 1103 of the family's 1831-position model. The record is from RNAcentral. Lineage: Eukaryota; Fungi; Ascomycota; Dothideomycetes; Tubeufiales; Wiesneriomycetaceae.
CUGCGAAUGGCUCAUUAAAUCAGUUAUCGUUUAUNUGAUAGUACCUUACUACUUGGAUAACCGUGGUAAUUCUAGAGCUAAUACAUGCUAAAAACCCCGACUUCGGAAGGGGUGUAUUUAUUAGAUAAAAAACCAAUGCCCUUCGGGGCUCCUUGGUGAUUCAUAAUAACUUAACGAAUCGCAUGGCCUUGCGCCGGCGAUGGUUCAUUCAAAUUUCUGCCCUAUCAACUUUCGAUGGUAGGAUAGUGGCCUACCAUGGUAUCAACGGGUAACGGGGAAUUAGGGUUCUAUUCCGGAGAGGGAGCCUGAGAAACGGCUACCACAUCCAAGGAAGGCAGCAGGCGCGCAAAUUACCCAAUCCCGACGCGGGGAGGUAGUGACAAUAAAUACUGAUACAGGGCUCUUUUGGGUCUUGUAAUUGGAAUGAGUACAAUUUAAAUCCCUUAACGAGGAACAAUUGGAGGGCAAGUCUGGUGCCAGCAGCCGCGGUAAUUCCAGCUCCAAUAGCGUAUAUUAAAGUUGUUGCAGUUAAAAAGCUCGUAGUUGAACCUUGGGUCUGGCUGACCGGUCCGCCUCACCGCGUGCACUGGUUCGGCCGGACCUUUCCUUCUGGGGAUCCGCAUGCCCUUCACUGGGCGUGUCGGGGAACCAGGACUUUUACUUUGAAAAAAUUAGAGUGUUCAAAGCAGGCCUUUGCUCGAAUACAUUAGCAUGGAAUAAUAGAAUAGGACGUGCGGUUCUAUUUUGUUGGUUUCUAGGACCGCCGUAAUGAUUAAUAGGGAUAGUCGGGGGUAUCAGUAUUCAAUUGUCAGAGGUGAAAUUCUUGGAUUUAUUGAAGACUAACUACUGCGAAAGCAUUUACCAAGGAUGUUUUCAUUAAUCAGUGAACGAAAGUUAGGGGAUCGAAGACGAUCAGAUACCGUCGUAGUCUUAACCGUAAACGAUGCCGACUAGGGAUCGGGCGAGGUUAUCAUUUUGACUCGCUCGGCACCUUACGAGAAAUCAAAG